CCUACGGGUGGCAGCAGUGAGGAAUAUUGGUCAAUGGACGAGAGUCUGAACCAGCCAAGUAGCGUGAAGGAUGACUGCCCUAUGGGUUGUAAACUUCUUUUAUAUGGGAAUAAAAUGUUCCACGUGUGGGAUUUUGUAUGUACCAUAUGAAUAAGGAUCGGCUAACUCCGUUCCAGCAGCCGCGGUAAUACGGAGGAUCCGAGCGUUAUCCGGAUUUAUUGGGUUUAAAGGGAGCGUAGGUGGAUUGUUAAGUCAGUUGUGAAAGUUUGCGGCUCAACCGGAAAAUUGCAGUUGAAACUGGCAGUCUUGAGUACAGUAGAGGUGGGCGGAAUGCGUGGUGUAGCGGUGAAAUGCUGAGAUAUCACGAAGAACUCCGAUUGAGAAGGCAGUUCACUGGACUGCAACUGACACUGAGGCUCGAAAGUGUGGGUAUCAAACAGGAUUAGAUACCCCUGUAGUC
This 460-nucleotide ribosomal RNA is filed under the name uncultured bacterium. RNAcentral's name for it is "partial 16S ribosomal RNA". It matches the Rfam family "Bacterial small subunit ribosomal RNA", at positions 338 to 795 of the family's 1533-position model. The record is from RNAcentral.